UAAAUACCCGAGUAGUCCUGACUGUAAACGCUGUGAGCAAGGUGUUGCAUAUUCUUAGGGAGUAUGCAGUGUCGAAACGAAGGUGUUAAGCUCACCGCCUGGGAAGUAUGGUCGCAAGACUGAAACUUAAAGGAAUUGGCGGGGGAGCACCACAAGGGGUGCGGCGUGCGGUUUAAUCUAAUUCAACACAGAGAACCUCACCAGAGGCGACGGCAGAAUGAAAGUCAAGCUAAAGACUUUACUUGACAAGCCGAGAGGUAGUGCAUGGCCGCCGUCAGCUCGUGCCGUAAGGUGUCCUGUUAAGUCAGGCAACGAGCAAGACCUGCGCUUACAAUUGCCAGCAGCUGUUUUCAGGACUGGGCACAUUGUAAGGACUGCCUAUGAAAAUAGGAGGAAGGUGCAGGCAACGGUAGGUCUGUAUGCUCCGAAUCCUCUGGGCUACACGCGCGCAACAAUGGUAUGGACAAUGGGCUACGAUUCCGAAAGGAAAAGUUAAACCUCUAAACCAUAUCUUAGUCCGGAUUGAGGACUGCAACUCGUCCUCGUGACGACGGAAU
RNAcentral lists this ribosomal RNA (557 nucleotides) under uncultured euryarchaeote. Its description in RNAcentral is "bacterial SSU rRNA". It matches the Rfam family "Archaeal small subunit ribosomal RNA", at positions 730 to 1288 of the family's 1478-position model. The record is from RNAcentral. Lineage: Archaea; Methanobacteriati; Methanobacteriota.